This 253-nucleotide ribosomal RNA is filed under the name uncultured bacterium. RNAcentral's name for it is "partial 16S ribosomal RNA". It matches the Rfam family "Bacterial small subunit ribosomal RNA", at positions 524 to 776 of the family's 1533-position model. The record is from RNAcentral.
UACAGAGGUCUCGAGCGUUAGGCGGAAUCACUGGGCUUAAAGCGUGUGUAGGCGGAUUGGUAAGUACCUUGUGAAAUCCCACGGCUCAACCGUGGAACUGCUCGGUAUACUGCCUGUCUUGUGCAACCUAGGGGCGAGCGGAACAGAUGGUGGAGCGGUGAAAUGCGUAGAUAUCUGCAGGAACACCCGUGGCGAAAGCGGCGCGCUGGACCACUACUGACGCUGAGGAACGAAAGCUAGGGGAGCAAACAGG